CCUACGGGAGGCAGCAGUGGGGAAUAUUGGACAAUGGGGGGAACCCUGAUCCAGCCAUGCCGCGUGUGUGAAGAAGGCCCUCGGGUUGUAAAGCACUUUCAGUGAGGAAGAACGCCUGGUGGUUAAUACCCAUCAGGAAAGACAUCACUCACAGAAGAAGCACCGGCUAACUCCGUGCCAGCAGCCGCGGUAAUACGGAGGGUGCGAGCGUUAAUCGGAAUUACUGGGCGUAAAGCGCGCGUAGGUGGCUUGAUAAGCCGGUUGUGAAAGCCCCGGGCUCAACCUUGGAACGGCAUCCGGAACUGUCAAGCUAGAGUGCAGGAGAGGAAGGUAGAAUUCCCGGUGUAGCGGUGAAAUGCGUAGAGAUCGGGAGGAAUACCAGUGGCGAAGGCGGCCUUCUGGACUGACACUGACACUGAGGUGCGAAAGCGUGGGUAGCAAACAGGAUUAGAUACCCCUGUAGUC
This 465-nucleotide ribosomal RNA is filed under the name Vreelandella stevensii. RNAcentral's name for it is "partial 16S ribosomal RNA". It matches the Rfam family "Bacterial small subunit ribosomal RNA", at positions 338 to 795 of the family's 1533-position model. The record is from RNAcentral. Lineage: Bacteria; Pseudomonadati; Pseudomonadota; Gammaproteobacteria; Oceanospirillales; Halomonadaceae.